UUUUUUUUUUUUUUUUUUUUUUUUUUUGGUUGGUAUUUUUGUAUUUUUCUUACGAAUGGCUGUAAUUUGCUGCUAUUUGAUGAGCACUUUCACACCUCUGUUCACGAGGGUGUUGACCUGCACGUGUCCCUUCUUGCGUCGUGUUUCUCUGGCUCUGGUGUCAGGGUGAUGCCGGCUACAUAGAAUGACUUGGGAAUUAUUCUCUCUUGGAUGGUUUUUGAAGGCCGUAGACACAGCUGCUUUAGCUGUGGGACUGGCUGGAGACCUGCUUCUUCCCGAGUGAGUGUUGGUAGCCUGUGUCCUUGUUAGGUUUGUGCCAGCGUUGUUAUAACGUUGCUUUGUCUUUCUCCUGCCAUCUCUGAGAUCGGUAUGAGAUCCCUCAUGUUCUCCUCUCGUUCUGGCUUGGUUUGGCUAGAGGUUUACCAAUUUUCCUGAUCUUUACAAAGAAUCGGCUUUUGGUUUUGGUGAUUUUAUCCUUGUCUUUCUGUUUUGAACUCAUAUUUGCUCUUGUUUUAUCUUUCCUUUUGUGCCGCUUGCUUUAGCUUUAAGUUGCUCCUCGUUUUUUCUUGCUUCUUAAGCUCAAGUCUUUUUUUUGGCGUCGCCUGUGCCGUGUGGAAGCUCCCCUGGCGACACUGGGUUCUUAACCCACUGCGCUCCAAGGGAACUCUGGGAACGUCUUAGCUUGUUUAUUGGAAAACCAUCUUCUUUUCCGAUUUAAGCAUCUGAUGUCUCUAAACUUCCCUUGAAGCGCAGCUUCACGGACAUCCCACGUAUUUUAAGUUGUAUUUUCAUUUUCAUUCCAUUUAUAAUUUACCUUGUGACUUACUAUUUUUUUUGGCUGCACCCUCGGCAUGUGGAAGUUCCCGGGCCUGGGACUGAGCCCCUCGUGUAAGUGGAUCACACAGUGUUUGUCCUUCUGUGUCUGGUUUCCUUCGUUUAUGGCCUGACAGUUCAUCUGUGUUGUUCAUGGGUCAGAAUUUCCUUCCUCUUUUUUUUUUUUUUUUAAUAUUUUUUUUGUUCUUUUUAGGGCUGCACCUGCGGCAUUUGUAGCUCCGAUUGGACCCCUGGCCUGGGAACCUCCAUAUGCUGAGGGUGCUGCCCUAAAAAGCAAAAAACCAAACAAAAGAAAACAAAAAAAAAAAGGGAAAAUGUGCAAAAGCUCAAAGGCAGAGCCUUAACUUUUGUAAAGACCGCAUUUCGGUUCAUCUCCGCUGUAAGAAACAGUGUGAUCUGAGGGUUGAGCUCUCCAGGGGUGCACUUGUCUUUCCCGACCCACAGUCACCCCUGUUUGUCGUGUGACUCAGAAGGAAGCACGAUCUCCAGGGUCACGCUCAGCCUAUCCCGGGAAAUGCAGGAAGGACCCUAGUUCCUUGCUGGAGCCACAGUCCAUGCUACCAAGGUCAGCAUCUUUGGAGCAAGAUUUUUUGAGAAGUAGCAGAGUGUCACAUGUUCUUACCAAAACAAGUGUAGAGUGGAUUUCAAAACAGGACCCUGGAGAUCCCCCUCCGACAGCAUCCCCUCUCCCCGGACCUCCUUCCCCGGGAACCAUCCCAGGAGGCCUCCUGGGAGGUGGUGUGCUUGGCCAGUCAUCGCGUCCUUGAUGAUCGGCCUGGCAGUUAGAAUGUCAGCUUUGCCAAGGGGGGGAUUUGGAACUCUGCAUCCUUGGCACAUUACACCCUGACUUGUAAAUCGGGCAAAAUUUGCGAAGAGGAAGUGCAGAUGGAACAUAAAUUGAAAUGCGACACCAGAAGAGUGUCAGAUACAGGCAUCUGGGAUCAGCAGCUGGAAUGAAAACAUGAACAGCGAGUGAUUCGGAGGGACCUUAAACCACCUCUUUCUGAAAUAACCCUGCGUGUCUCCUGGUGUCAAGGAUGACCCCUGGCCCCCUGCCACUCGAGGGCCUGGGUAGGCGAAGGGCCUGUGUCCUGCUGUUUUCCUCAUCUCACUGGGGCACAGGCCACCCCUGCCCUUUCUGUUCCCAGACUGUCCACAGGGGGACACAGAGGUGGCACAUGCCGGACAGCCAGGCUCCUGCGUGGUUUUGUUUCGGGUGACUGGAAGGGGCACUGGGGGGAACCUACCUAAAGGUAGCCAGCAUGGGAGUUCCCUUUGUGGCUCAGCGGUUAAUGAACCCGACGAGGAACCAUGAGGAUGCAGGUUUGAUCCCUGGUCUCACUCAGCAGGUUAAGGAUCCAUUGUUGCCGUGAGCUGUGGCGUAGGUCACAGACGCUGCUUGGAUCCUGCAUUGCUGUGGCUGUGGUGUAGGCUGGUAGCUGCAGCUCCCAUUUGACCCCUAGCCUGGGAACUUCCAUAGGCCGAGGAUGCGGCCCUAAAAAGAAAAAAAAAAGGGAGUUCCCAUUGUGGCCAAUGGAAAUGAAUCUGACUAGCAUCCAUGAGGACUCGGAUUUGAUCCCUGACCUCGCUCAGUGGGCUAAGGAUCUGACAUUGCUGUGAGCAGGGGUAUAGGUUGCAGAUGUGGCUCAGAUCUGGUGUGGCUGUGGCUGUGGCGUAGGCCGGCAGCUACGACUCUGAUUCAACCCCGAGCCUGGGAACUUCCAUAUGCUGUGGGUGCGGCCCUAAAAAGCAAAAAAACAAAACAAAAACAAAAAAACAAAAAA
This 2618-nucleotide long non-coding RNA is filed under the name Sus scrofa (pig). RNAcentral describes it as "lncRNA (ENSSSCG00065053671.1)". The record is from RNAcentral. Lineage: Eukaryota; Metazoa; Chordata; Mammalia; Artiodactyla; Suidae.